CAACAGCCGUGCUUCCACCGUGCUCCUGAUUAGCAAUCAGGGCCCCAGCGCUGCUGUGAUUAAAGGACAAGCAGAUGGGCGGCUUCCAACGCUCCUGCGACUCAGGGUCAAGCCUCCCAGCAAAGGAGAUGGACUCUGCUUUUCCCAACAACACGGCCGUGCCCGGGAAGAGGAGGUGCCCAGGGCUGUGUCCACGGAACCUGCCCAGGUCCUUCACUCCCAACAGAGCCUGGUGUCCAACGCCAGGCAGUUCACGUGUUGGGAAAGCCAAGGCCAUACCAAGGGGGCUGGACUCACUUCUGUAACCUGGACCAAGGCUUGCAGUGUUCACACAGCAUCCACGUGGUUGUCCUAAGCCUCUGACUAUUUUGCAGAGUUCUGACAACGUCUGGACUCCAACUGUUUUCUCCUCCAUCUCUCUCUUUUGUUUGGUUUUUUUU
This is a long non-coding RNA of Bos taurus (domestic cattle), 440 nucleotides long. NCBI's taxonomy places the organism in Eukaryota, Metazoa, Chordata, Mammalia, Artiodactyla, Bovidae. The record is from Ensembl.